This 700-nucleotide ribosomal RNA is filed under the name uncultured bacterium. Its description in RNAcentral is "bacterial SSU rRNA". It matches the Rfam family "Bacterial small subunit ribosomal RNA", at positions 173 to 883 of the family's 1533-position model. The record is from RNAcentral.
UCCACAGAAGGCAUCUAACGCGGACGAAAUGUGAAGGAGAAGGAUGGGGAUGCGUCUGAUUAGCUUGUUGGCGGGGUAACGGCCCACCAAGGCGACGAUCAGUAGGGGUUCUGAGAGGAAGGUCCCCCACAUUGGAACUGAGACACGGUCCAAACUCCUACGGGAGGCAGCAGUGAGGAAUAUUGGUCAAUGGGCGAGAGCCUGAACCAGCCAAGUAGCGUGCAGGAUGACGGCCCUAUGGGUUGUAAACUGCUUUUAUGCGGGGAUAAAGUGAGCCACGUGUGGCUUAUUGCAGGUACCGCAUGAAUAAGGACCGGCUAAUUCCGUGCCAGCAGCCGCGGUAAUACGGAAGGUCCGGGCGUUAUCCGGAUUUAUUGGGUUUAAAGGGAGCGUAGGCCGUCUGGUAAGCGUGUUGUGAAAUGUCGGGGCUCAACCUGGGCAUUGCAGCGCGAACUGUCAGACUUGAGUGCGCGGGAAGUAGGCGGAAUUCGUCGUGUAGCGGUGAAAUGCUUAGAUAUGACGAAGAACUCCGAUUGCGAAGGCAGCCUGCUGUAGCGCAACUGACGCUGAAGCUCGAAAGCGUGGGUAUCGAACAGGAUUAGAUACCCUGGUAGUCCACGCGGUAAACGAUGGAUGCUCGCUGUUUGCGUCUGACGUAAGCGGCCAAGCGAAAGCCUUAAGCAUCCCACCUGGGGAGUAC